This 481-nucleotide ribosomal RNA is filed under the name uncultured bacterium. RNAcentral's name for it is "partial 16S ribosomal RNA". It matches the Rfam family "Bacterial small subunit ribosomal RNA", at positions 30 to 507 of the family's 1533-position model. The record is from RNAcentral.
UUGCACGCUGGCGGCAUGCCUUACCCCUGCCCGUCGAACGGUAACAGGUCUUCGGAUGCUGACGAGUGGCGAACGGGUGAGUAAUACAUCGGAACGUGCCCAGACGUGGGGGAUAACGAGGCGAAAGCUUUGCUAAUACCGCAUACGAUCUAAGGAUGAAAGCAGGGGACCGCAAGGCCUUGUGCGUUUGGAGCGGCCGAUGGCAGAUUAGGUAGUUGGUGGGAUAAAAGCUUACCAAGCCGACGAUCUGUAGCUGGUCUGAGAGGACGACCAGCCACACUGGGACUGAGACACGGCCCAGACUCCUACGGGAGGCAGCAGUGGGGAAUUUUGGACAAUGGGCGAAAGCCUGAUCCAGCAAUGCCGCGUGCAGGAUGAAGGCCUUCGGGUUGUAAACUGCUUUUGUACGGAACGAAAAGGCUCUGGCUAAUACCUGGGGCACAUGACGGUACCGUAAGAAUAAGCACCGGCUAACUACGUG